RNAcentral lists this transfer RNA (77 nucleotides) under Eubacteriales bacterium SKADARSKE-1. RNAcentral's name for it is "tRNA-Arg". It matches the Rfam family "tRNA". From Rfam's summary of the family: Transfer RNA (tRNA) molecules are approximately 80 nucleotides in length. Their secondary structure includes four short double-helical elements and three loops (D, anti-codon, and T loops). Lineage: Bacteria; Bacillati; Bacillota; Clostridia; Eubacteriales. The record is from RNAcentral.
GUGCCUGUAGCGCAGCUGGAUAGCGCGCUUCCCUCCUAAGGAAGAUGUCGGGGGUUCAAAUCCCUUCAGGCACGCCA